CCGAAAACUGACAGACAUUUCUGUAGUAUUUUAAUAGCUUAGUGUUUCUAGUGCUGUGCUGACUGACAUUUGCUGUGGUUAAUCCACAGCUUUGGGGGGUUCGGAAGAUUAAAUACGAGACAAAUACCGUAAACAUCCAGAGAGCCUCUGCCCCUGCCUGGUGCCAGGCCCAACAGAUGCAGCUUCAGACUCAGCAGCCCUGUCUCCCCAUCUCCAUACCCCUGAACCAGCCCUACUCCCAACUGAAGAAGGAGGUGAGCAGCAUUGUAUUGAAUGACAUGUCAGUUGACAUAAUUGCAGGGACUGCAAUGCAUUGAGGACAGGAAUGUGAUUCUCCAGUCAGGAAAAGUCUCCCUUGACACAGAGGCAGCCAAUAUCAGAGCCUUAAAGGAAGAGAUGCAGGCUCUUAGAGAUGGAUGGGAGUCUCUCCUGUCUGAGGCAACACUGAUUGCUAUGCAAAUGGAUGUUGCACCUCAAUUUAGCAAGGAACACAGCCGCCAGAGGAAAGGAAAGAGAUUCCAUGAGACCUCUUAAGAGGAGACAGCUCAGGACAGUGAUGCAACGGUGUUUUGGAACACAGUGUUUUUUACUGUUAUGGACAACAUGAUAAGUGAUUAGGACACUAGGUUCCACGCCACUGGAAAAAUUGUAGAAUCCUUUUCUGCUGUUCUGAAAGUUGGGCAGAUUAGUGAGGAUAAAGUCUCUUCUGUGUGCCAACCACUGGUCAUGAAGUAUUCCAGAGAUCUUACACUUGAGUUUCAAAAUAAAGUAAGACACCUGAACACUGUAUAUGCUGCCAUUUUCCCCCCUAACUUGUCCCCUCUUGGUCUUCUGAAUGCAGUUUGUAAGAUGUAGCUGCAAAGCAUUUUGGAGAAGUGUGCAUUGCUUUCCGUAUAUUUUGCACACUGCCUGUGACUGUUGCUGGUGGCGAGAGAGCUUUCAGUAAGCUAAAACUGAUUUUAAAAAACGAUUUCAGGUCCACUAUCUGUCCCGGGACAGACUUUGCAGUCUUGCCAUGCUUUCCAUUGAAAGUCAGAUAGCUAGAAAGCUGAACUUCAAAGACUUAAUCAGUGACUUUGCUAGCAAGAAGGCUGGGCGCUGGGCUCUUGGUGAGUAAAGCAGAGCAAGGGCCAGUGAUAACUGUUCAAUGGCAUGGCUAUGGAUAUUGGAUCACUACACACAUGAUGCCCACAGGCUGAGAACAGACUGAGAACAAGAUAUAUCUCAAAGUAAUGGCUGGAUUGUCAUAAAAUGUGUUGUGCACAAUCAAGCCCCCAAGUGGAAGAAACCUAUUGAUUUGGUGACCUCUUGACCUUUCCUCUAGCGCCACCAUCAGGCCUUUCCAUUUCCAUUUUCAUUUCCAUUUCCACUGUACAGCUGCUUCUUUUUUUAGUUGGUCUGUAUACUUAGUUCAAAAAUCUGCUUCGGAUUUUAUUCUGUUUGUUAUAUCAUUCUAUAGAUGAUAAUGUUAAUUUAUUUUAAUUGAAGAGGUUAAUGUAUAUUUAAGUUGUAUUUAUUUUAAGUUAUUCAUUAAUGUUAAGAGAAUUUUCCGUUCAAGAACUUUUCCUUUAAAAUUACAUUUAGACUGUAAAAGAUGGCUUUUAGCACAUUUCUUAUAGAGGGUAUCAGGCUUGCAUCAAAUAGUGAAUUCCACUGUAUGCAUAAUGUUGCAUGCAUGUCUGCAGUAUUAUAUUUUCACAGCUCACUCUCAGUAAAUAUAGUACAGUAAAUAUUGGACUACAAGAGAGUUGCAAGCCUGCAAAGGUAGAGUUAUUUAAAGCCUUGAAUGGGUCGAUUGGCUUCUGGAGGUGUGUGGUUACAGCAAUUGCGCAGGGUUGAUGUGGCCUGUGGUGGUGGGUCGCAAUGUGAUAUCUUUCAUGGGGCCCAAAAUCCCUGGCGCGCCCCUGCCUACAUGUACAUAUUACCUCAACUGACCUGUGCCCCAGCACGUUGACUCUGUACCGGUACCCCCUGUAUAUAGCCUUGCUAUUGUUACUUUACAGUUGCGGUUUAAUUAUUUGUCACCUUUAUUUUAAAAUGUUUACCUAUCUAUUUUUUACUUAACACUUUUUUUCUUAAAACUUCUUAAAGCAUUGUUGCUUGUAAGUAACAAUUUCACUGUAAGGUAUUCUGCGCAUGUGACAAAUACAAUUUGAUUUGAAAAACAAGAUUCUCUGGUCUGAUGAAACCAAGAUUGAAAUCUUUGGCCUGAAUGCCAAGCGUCACGUCUGGAGCAAACCUGGCACCGUCGCUACAGUGAAGCAUGGUGGAGGCAGCAUCAUGUUAUGGGGAUGUUUUUCAGCGGCAGGGACUGGGAGACUAGUAAGGAUCGGGGUAAAGAUGAACGGAGCAAAAUACAGAGAGAUCCUUGAUGAAAACCUGCUCCAGAGUACUUAGGACCUCAGACUGGGGUGAAGGUUCACCUUCCAACAGGAUAAUGACCCUAAGCACACAGCCAAGACAAUGCAGGAGUGGCUUCGGGACAAGUCUCUGGAUGUCCUUGAGUGGCCCAGCCAGAGCCCAGAAUUGAACCCAAUCUAACUUCUUUAGAGAGACCUGAAAAAAGCUGUGACGCAAAGCUCCCCAUCCAACCUGACAGAGCUUGAGAGGAUCUGCAGAGAAGAAUGGGGGAAACUCUUCAAAUACAAGUGUGUCAAGCUUGUAGCAUCACACCCAAGAAGACUUGAGGUUGUAAUCUCUGCCAAAUGUGCUUCAACAAAGUACAGAGUAAUGGGUCUGAAUACUUACAGUUGAAGUCGGAAGUUUACAUACACCUUAGCCAAAUAAGUUUUUCACAGUUUUUCACUGUCUUAGGUCAGUUAGGAUCACCACUUCAUUUUAAUAAUGUGAAAAGUCAGAAUACUGGUAGAGUGAUUUAUUUCAGCUUUUAUUUCUUUCAUCACAUUCCCAGUAGGUCAGAAGUUUACAUACACUCAAUUAGUAUUUGGUAGCAUUGCCUUUAAAUUGUUGAACUUGGGACAAAUGUUUUGGGUAGCCUUCCCACAAUAAGUUGGGUGAAUUUUGGCCCAUUCCUCCUGACAAAGCUGGUGUAACUGAAUCAGGUUUGUAGGCCUCCUUGCUCGCACAUGCUUUUUCAGUUCUGCCCAAAAAUGUUCUAUAGGAUUGAGGUCAGGGCAUUGUGAUGGCCACUCCAAUACCUUGACUUUGUUGUCCUCUUGUCAUUUUGCAACAACUUUGGAAGUAUCUAUUGGGGUCAUUGUCCAUUUGGAAGACCCAUUUGUGACCAAGCUUUAACUUCCUGACUGAUGUCUUGAGAUGUUGCUUCAAUAUAUCCCCAUAAUUUUCCUCCCUCAUGAUGCCAUCUAUUUUGUGAAGAGCACCAGUCCCUCCUGCAGCAAAGAACCCCUACAACAUGGUUCUGCCGCCACCGUGCUUCGCAGUUGGGAUGGUGUUCUUCAGCUUGCAAGCCUCCCCCUUUUUCCUCCAAACAUAACGAUGGUCAUUAUGGCCAAACAAUUCUAUUUUUGUUUCAUCAGACCAGAUGACAUUUCUCCAAAAUGUACAGUCUUUGUCCCCAUGUGCAGUUGCAAACCGUAGUCUGGCUUUUUUUAUGGUGGUUUUGGAGCAGUGGCUUCUUCCUUGCUGAGUGGCCAUUCAGGUUAUGUCUACAUAGGACUCGUUUUACUUUGGAUAUAGAUACUUUUGUACCUGUUUCAUCCAGCAUCUUCCUUUGCUGUUGUUCUGGGACGGAUUUGCACUUUUCGCACCAAAGUACGUUCAUCUCGGGGCCUCCCGAGUGGUGCAGUGGUUUAUUGUGCCACCAGAGACUCUGGGUUCGCGCCCAGGCUCUGUCGCAGCUGGCCGCGACUGGGAGGUCCGUGGGGCGACGCACAAUUGGCCUAGCGUCGUCCGGGUUAGGGAGGGUUUGGCCGGUAGGGAUAUCCAUGUCUCAUCGCGCUCUAGUGACUCCUGUGGCGGGCCGGGCGCAGUGCUCGCUAACCAGGUUUCCAGGUGCACGGUGUUUCCUCCGACACAUUGGCGCGGCUGGCUUCCGGGUUGGAUGCGCGCUUAGCAGUGCGGCUUGGUUGGGUUGUGUUUCGGAGGACGCAUGGCUUUCGACCUUCGUCUCUCCUGAGCCCGUACGAGAGUUGUAGCGAUGAGACAAGAUAGUAACUUCUAACAAUUGGAUACCACGAAAUUGGGGAGAAAAGGGGGUAAAAAAAAUAAAAAAUAAAAAGUAAGACAGAACUCGUAUCCUUCCUGAGGGGUAUGACGGCUGCGGCUGCGUACUAUUGUUUGUAUAGAUGAAAGUGGUACCUUCAGGCUUUUGGAAGUUGCUCCCAAGGAUGGACCAGACUUGUGGAGGUCUACAAUUUUUUUCUGAGGUCUUGGCUGAUUUCUUUUGAUUUCCCCAAACCGACUUGCCAAAACUAUUGUUUGUUAAUUAACAAGUGGUUGAAAAACGAGUUUUAAUCCAACCUAAGUGUAUGUAAAUUUCUGACUUCAACUGUAUGUAAAUUUCUGACAACAACUGUAUGUAAAUGUGAUAUUUCCGUUUUUUAUUUUUAAUAAAUUAUCAACAAAUUCUAAAAA
Oncorhynchus nerka (sockeye salmon) is the source of this 4554-nucleotide long non-coding RNA. RefSeq lists it as uncharacterized. Lineage: Eukaryota; Metazoa; Chordata; Actinopteri; Salmoniformes; Salmonidae. The transcript has 2 exons. The record is from RefSeq and is a predicted model, not a curated record.